RNAcentral lists this ribosomal RNA (440 nucleotides) under uncultured bacterium. RNAcentral describes it as "partial 16S ribosomal RNA". It matches the Rfam family "Bacterial small subunit ribosomal RNA", at positions 338 to 795 of the family's 1533-position model. The record is from RNAcentral.
CCUACGGGUGGCAGCAGUGGGGGACAUUGCACAAUGGGGGGAACCCUGAUGCAGCGACGCCGCGUGGGUGAAGGAGCGUUUCGGCGCGUAAAGCCCUAUCGGCAGGGAAGAAGAUGACGGUACCUGACCAAGAAGCCCCGGCUAACUAAGUGCCAGCAGCCGCGGUCAUACGUAGGGGGCAAGCGUUAUCCGGAUUUACUGGGUGUAAAGGGGGCGCAGACGGCAAUGCAAGCCAGGAGUGAAAGCCCGGGGCCCAACCCCGGGACUGCUCUUGAAACUGCAUGGUUGGAGUGCAGGAGGGGCAGGCGGAAUGCGUAGUGUAGCGGUGAAAUGCGUAGAUAUUAGGAGGAACACCGGUGGCGAAGGCGGCCUGCUGGACUGUGACUGACGUUGAGGCACGAAGGCGUGGGGAGCAAACAGGAUUAGAUACCCGGGUAGUC